UCAGGAGAACGGCUGGCGGCGUGCCUAAUACAUGCAAGUCGAGCGACGAAUCGAAAGCUUGCUUUUGAUUCGUUAGCGGCGGACGGGUGAGUAACACGUGGGCAACCUGCCCUGUAGACGGGGAUAACACCGAGAAAUCGGUGCUAAUACCGGAUAACACGAAAUGUCGCAUGACGUUUCGUUGAAAGACGGCGCAAGCUGUCGCUACAGGAUGGGCCCGCGGCGCAUUAGCUAGUUGGUGAGGUAACGGCUCACCAAGGCGACGAUGCGUAGCCGACCUGAGAGGGUGAUCGGCCACACUGGGACUGAGACACGGCCCAGACUCCUACGGGAGGCAGCAGUAGGGAAUCUUCCGCAAUGGACGAAAGUCUGACGGAGCAACGCCGCGUGAGCGAAGAAGGCCUUCGGGUCGUAAAGCUCUGUUGUUAGGGAAGAACAAGUAACGCAGUAACUGGCGUUACCGUGACGGUACCUAACGAGAAAGCCACGGCUAACUACGUG
This 501-nucleotide ribosomal RNA is filed under the name uncultured Anoxybacillus sp. RNAcentral's name for it is "bacterial SSU rRNA". It matches the Rfam family "Bacterial small subunit ribosomal RNA", at positions 24 to 507 of the family's 1533-position model. Lineage: Bacteria; Bacillati; Bacillota; Bacilli; Caryophanales; Anoxybacillaceae. The record is from RNAcentral.